UAAGUCCGGGGUGGCUGUAUCUAUCCCAGC
Molecule: non-coding RNA, 30 nt
Filed under: Cricetulus griseus (Chinese hamster)
Lineage: Eukaryota; Metazoa; Chordata; Mammalia; Rodentia; Cricetidae
Source: RNAcentral